CAUUCUGUUGUCAUUAGCGUUUCUUGUCGUUAAAAAUGGGAAAUUAUUAGGCGAUAGUGUCGGGUAUAGAUUACGAUCCAAUGUUCCAGAUCGCUGUCAUUAACGAGAGUUGUCGGUGGUAGAUUAAGAGGGAGCUGCCGCGCAAUGCGUGAUGGGAGUCGAGCAGACCAGCUGAUCAGCAUGAUCAAAAUGGCGGCCUUUUCGUAGCGAUAGCCCGGUAUCCAGCCGUAUAUAGCUCCUGUUCUCUCCGUAUCAUAGCUCCCGAGCACUGUCCCGAGUCUCUUCUGUUCUCCCCGCAAAUGGUAGGCGAGACUUGAGAGCUACAAUAUGGCUGGAUACCAGGCUAGAUGUAGCCUUAUGUGCGAUGUAAAAGCAUUAGUACCCGUACAACGGUCGUUUAUAUAAUUUUUCAAAAGAUCAUGGUUAGCAUCUGUGAAGAUAACACCACAUUGAUACUGAUAGGAGCCAUAGUUUUGAUAGUUGCUUGGUGGCACGAGGUAGAUUCACAGCGGUAACCAGAAAAUCUCGGCGUACAAUUACGGCUGUCAACGUAACGCUCCCGGUUCCAGCCUUACAGGUACCAGACUCAACACAUGGCCGAACUGUUGGUGCAUAUGAGGAAAGCAGGCAUACCGGGACCAGUCUCCUUGCCUUUGGGACCAAGGGCGAUAUGGAAUACCCCGUGUUGUAUUCUAUUUAUAUCAUGCCAACCUGAGCAAACUCAAGUUUAUUGCUAAAAAGAACAAAUGACGGGACAAGAAGCUGAUGAUCAUGCAGCAGUGGAUUACCUGUUUCUACAUAGAGGAAUUAUUCAGUAACACCAGCCAUGUCCUAUUUUUUAAUGCAGUGAGGCUUAAACAAUAUGUCUCAUCGUCCUCAUCGGUCCCUUGACCAGGGGUGGUCGUGGGAGCACUUUGCUACUGAGCAAAUGAACAAUGAGUCUGUAAAAAGUUAAACUAGUAGUAGUAGAGGUGUACAGACAGCUUGUAUAUAGAAAGUUUUUUUUGUUAUUCUGCAGUGUGCUGUGUUUGUUAUCAUGUUAUAAUUGCUGUAACUCAGAUUCAAAUUCUUUUAAAAUCAUGUCUCUUUAGAUGGAAGAUAUAGUACUAGUAGAGUACAUUGAGUAGAAAAUGUUGAGGUUGUAUCUGUUUUGCAUGUUAAUUACAACUAACUUGUAUUAUACAUGAUGCAGAGAACUUUCUAAUGUUCUGUGUUGUAUUAGAUAUUCCAUGUAACAGCCUUUGCAUGUAAGGUAGCUAUGGGGAAGGAUGGAUUAGUUGUAUGUUUCAGAUGCUCAUCCAAAAAUAUUUAGGCAUAUGGGCAAUUGCUGAUGACUUUCAAAACACCAAAACACAGCGUUGGAGCUAUUGAGCUUAAACUGUACAGUUGUACAUGUAUGAGGUCACUGUCAAUGUCAGGUACAUGUGAUGAGACCUAGUGCGAGUCUUCCUAUGUAAUCUUGACAUAAGUACAUGAUGAUGGAGAAUAACAGGAAGAGGAAAUUGAAAGUGAGUAUUAGCUGUAAAGGUUUAGAAGAUUUAGUGUUUGUCCAAAGUGCAAUAUUGUAUUUGUCCAAAAUCAAUCAGUAGUUUCUUAUAUGUAUACAAAUAGAUAAGUGCAAACACAAAGGAUUAUUACUAUAUCUAGUUGCAUAUAAAAGUUGUCGGUCGGUCUUAUCCAUUUGCGGGACUCUGUUUUGUCAAGCUUUAUUUCAUUGUAGUCAAGUCAUCAUGAAAUAAAUAGUGGACUUUGAAAAAA
Molecule: long non-coding RNA, 1758 nt
Organism: Branchiostoma floridae (Florida lancelet)
Lineage: Eukaryota; Metazoa; Chordata; Leptocardii; Amphioxiformes; Branchiostomatidae
Exons: 2
Source: RefSeq, a predicted model, not a curated record